GGGCGCAAGCCUGAUGCAGCGACGCCGCGUGAGGGAUGGAGGCCUUCGGGUUGUAAACCUCUUUUAUCGGGGAGCAAGCGAGAGUGAGUUUACCCGUUGAAUAAGCACCGGCUAACUACGUGCCAGCAGCCGCGGUAAUACGUAGGGUGCAAGCGUUAUCUGGAAUUAUUGGGCGUAAAGGGCUCGUAGGCGGUUCGUCGCGUCCGGUGUGAAAGUCCACCGCUUAACGGUGGAUCCGCGCCGGGUACGGGCGGGCUUGAGUGCGGUAGGGGAGACUGGAAUUCCCGGUGUAACGGUGGAAUGUGUAGAUAUCGGGAAGAACACC
This 325-nucleotide ribosomal RNA is filed under the name uncultured bacterium. RNAcentral's name for it is "bacterial SSU rRNA". It matches the Rfam family "Bacterial small subunit ribosomal RNA", at positions 373 to 710 of the family's 1533-position model. The record is from RNAcentral.